Erinaceus europaeus (western European hedgehog) is the source of this 530-nucleotide long non-coding RNA. RefSeq lists it as uncharacterized. The record is from RefSeq and is a predicted model, not a curated record. NCBI's taxonomy places the organism in Eukaryota, Metazoa, Chordata, Mammalia, Eulipotyphla, Erinaceidae. The transcript has 3 exons.
UCUUGGCUAAGAUCCACAGCGGAAAUCAUGCUUUUCUAUUAUUACAAGAAAUAACUGCAGGACUCUCUUGGCUCAAGGUUCACACUGGGUUUGCCUCUUCCUGGAAGGGAUUCAGUCAAGAUUCUGGCAACAUACAGCGCAAAAUACAGUCGGUGCUCUGCAUGCAUGAGGCAUCAGGUUCAGCCUCCAGAAAGCCAAGAAAUUUUAAACAUCAAAUGAAUAUUCAAAAAGACUACAGCUUGGUCAGUGUAUGACUUCUGUCUACCCUUGCCACCAGGUUCAAGAUGCUACCAUGAUGCCAACUGUACUUCCCUGGGCAGACAACCCCACCAAUAUGUCCUGGAGCCCUGCUUCCCCAGAGCCCUGUCUCACUAGGGAAAGAGAGAUACAGGCUGGGAAUAUGGAUCAACCUGUCAAUACCCAUGUUCAGUGGGGAAGCAAUUACAGAAGCCAGACCUUCCACCUUCUGCACCCCAUAAAGACCCUGGGUCUAUACUCCCAGAGGGUUAAAGAAUAAGAAAGCUGUAAGG